Molecule: ribosomal RNA, 249 nt
Filed under: uncultured bacterium
Lineage: Bacteria
Description: partial 16S ribosomal RNA
Rfam family: Bacterial small subunit ribosomal RNA
Source: RNAcentral
GCAAGUCGAGGGGCAGCAUUCACUUCGGUGAGAUGGCGACCGGCGCACGGGUGCGUAACGCGUAUACAAUCUACCUUAUACAGAGGGAUAGCCCAUGGAAACGUGGAUUAAUACCUCAUGGUACUAUAAAACUGCAUAGUUUAAUAGUUAAAACUUCGGUGGUAUAAGAUGGGCAUGCGUCUGAUUAGGUAGUUGGUGAGGUAAUGGCUCACCAAGCCUGCGAUCAGUAGGGGUUCUGAGAGGAUUAUC